Molecule: non-coding RNA, 5762 nt
Organism: Oryctolagus cuniculus (rabbit)
Lineage: Eukaryota; Metazoa; Chordata; Mammalia; Lagomorpha; Leporidae
Source: RefSeq, a predicted model, not a curated record
CUGGUGCUGUGGCACACUAGGUUAAUCCUCCGCCUGUGGCACUGGGAUCUAUAUGGGUGCCAGUUCUAGCCCCGGUUGUUCCUCUUCCAGUCCAGCUCUCUGCUGUGGCCCAGGAGGACAAUGGAGGAUGGCCCAGGUCCUUGGGCCCCUGCACCCGCAUGGGAGACCAGGAAGAAGCACCUGGCUCCUGGCUUCGGCUCGGUGUCGUGCCAGCUGUAGUGGUCAUUUGGGGGGUGAACCAGCAGAUGAAAGACCUUUCUCUUUCUCUCUCACUGUCUGUAACCCUACCUGUCAAAUAAAUGAAUAAAAAAACUUAAAAAAAAAAAAAAACAAAAAACAAAAACUUGAGUCACAUCUUAGAAACUGACCUGGAUGAGGGAGUUCUGACAAUAGUUUGGAGGAUAAAAAUCUUGGAAAACUAACUAUCCUUGUGAGUCAACAGACAGCCACAAUACCAGACAUCUUGUUCCCCUUACUGUGUGUGCAGUCCUUGUGCUCUGCCUUGUUUCCAUACAGUUCAUACACUAGGCGUCCUUUUCACUAUCAUUGCUUUGGUUACUGUUUCCCUUGGGCUUACGUGCUCCUCCAAAGCUCUGUAAUGUGUCACUUCUAAAAGUCCUGGCAUGAAAACCCUGUGUACUUAACCCCCUUGUAAACUCGUCUCUGCUCAUUCAGAGGCUACUAAGCUACAGAGCAGCCCACAGAUGCAGGCCUUCUAUUGAAAACCCUGGACAGACAGGCCAAGAUGCAGAGGUCCCUCUCGCUGAGCCACUGGGCUGCAAGAGCUGUCUCAUACUUCACCAGGGACACAGCAAGUUCCCGGGGUUAUUCUCAGCUGCAACACUAACCAGGGAGGCUUCGCAAGGAAGAUGGUCUGACAUGAGGUACAUCAUCAUUACUGGAACCUUCUACAGUUUUCAUUUUUUUCUGAGCCACAAUGAAUUUGGUGCUUUGGAAAGUGUGAAAGCAGCUAGUGAACUCUACUCUAUCAGGAGAAGAAGCCCUUGCAGAUAUCCAGGACCUGUCAACAAAUCUUGUUAUGAAGACGGUUGGCUGAUCAAACUGACACUGAGUAACCCUUCAGAACUAGAUGAACUUAUGAGUGAAGAAGCCUAUGAGAAAUACAUAAAAUCUAUUGAGGAAUGAAAGUGGAACCCUUACAUGAACUAGUAUGGAAUAACUUGAUCCAGCACAGUUUUAUCUUAAAUUAGUGGCAGACAGGAUUUAAAAUAGCAACUUUUAGCAAUAUUGAUGGGAAGAAAUACUACCUGCAACUCUGCUACUGGAAGAGAAUAUCCCCUAACUUUGUAAUGACUGCAGAUGAACACAAUAUGCAUCUUUUUCUCAGUACCUAGUGAUUUUUAUACUAGGCUCUAGGCAAUAGUACUCAGCAUACAAGAAGCUAUCUGUGGUAAAAACUAGUUAUACAAUAAUGUAAUUCAAGGAUAACAUUGUUAUCUUAAGCCUAUGUAAUGUUGUAACUUGCUUAGACUCAUCUCUGGAUUGGGGUCAAAAUAUGUAAUGAUCUUUCCAUUGGAAGUAACUGGGAAUGGGCAACAGUUUUUGUUAGUUGUACAGUGUCAGAAAAAGAACAAUACUACCUUAAUUUUGCAAUAUACUGCAUUUGCUGGUGCUGUGUUAUACAGUGAAGCAGCAGCUCUAAGGCAAAAUAAGAAACAUAAUAAAAUUUUCAACUUCCUCAUUAAAAAAAAAAUCAGGGGGCUGGCAUUGUGGCAUAGCUGCUACACGUGACACCAGCAUCUCAUAUGAGCACCAGUCAAUGACCAAACUGAGCCAUUUCCAAUCUGAUUUCCUGCUAAUGGCCUGGGUAAAGCAGAAGAAGGCCCAAGUGUUUGGGCCACUACCACCCACUUGGGAUACCCAACGAUGCUCCUGGCUCCUGGCUUCAGCCUGGCUUAGCCCUGGCAAUUUCAGCCAUUUGGAGAGUCAAUCAGUGGAUGAAAGAUCUCUCUCUCUCUCUCUCUCUCUCUCUCUCUCCUUCUGCCUCUGCCUCUCCCUUUCUCUCUGUAAUUCUGAUUUCAAAUAAAUAAAUCUUUUUUUAAAAAGUCAGUUUCAUUUCUAUAUACUAACGAUGAUGACUAUCUGAAAAAGGAAACUAUCUUAUUUACAGCAGCAUCAAAAAAUACUUAAGGGCCAGCAUUGUGGUGCAGUAGGUUAAGCCGCUGCCUGCAGUUCUGGCACAUCAAUCAGAGUGCAGGUUUGAGUCCUGGCUGCUUUGCUUAUGAUCCAGCUCCCUGUGAUGUGCCUGGGAAAGCUGCAGAAAAUGGCCAAGUACUUGGAGUACUGCCACCCAUGGCAGACUGGGAUGGAAUUUCUGGCACCUACCUUAGGCCUGGUCCAGCCCCAAUCAUUGUGACCAUUUGGGGAGUGAACCAGUAGGUAGAAGAUUCAUUCUCUCUCUCUCUCGCUCUCGCUCUCCGCUCUCCUUUCUCCUCCUCCUCUUCCACCUCCUCCUCUUCCUCCUCCUUUCUCUGUCACUCUGCCUUUCAAAUGCCAAAAUAAAUCUUUUUAAAAUCACUUAAGAAUAAAUUUUACAAAAAAAGUGAAAGAGUUACACUAAAAUCUAUAGAACACUGAUGAAGGGGAUUAAAGGAAACACAAAUAGAUAGGAAAAUGUGAAUUAAAAGAAAUAAUAUUGUUAAAGUGUUCCUCUUACCCAAAAUCAUCUAUAGAUUGAAUGCAAUCACAAUAAAAAUCCCAAUAACACAAGUCACAGAAAUAGAACAAUCUUGAAAAUCAUGUGAAUCACAAAAGACCCUGAAUAGCCAAAGAAAUCUUGAGAAAGAAGAACUAAACUGGAGGCAUUAUGCUUCCUGAUUACAAAAUAUUGAUACAGUAUGGUGCUGGUAUAAAAACAAACUGACCAGCACAACAGAACAGAGAGCCCACAAAUAAACACAUGCAUAAGUGGUCAAAUAAUUUUUGACAUAGGCACAUGAUGGGGAAAGACCAGCCUCUUCAAUUAGUAGUGUUGGAAACAUGGGAUAUGCACAUGUAGAAAAAAGAAAGAAAAGAAAUUAGAUCUUUCUCCUACACCAUAUGCAAAAUGGCUCAAAUAAAUCAAUGCAAACUGGAUUACAGAUUCAAACACAAGAUCUGAAAGCAUGGAGCUCCUUUUUGAAAAUGUGGGAAGAAACCUCUUUGACAAUGGUCUUGGCAAGAAUUUUUGGAUGUGAUACCAAAAGCACAGGCAACAAAAGCAAAAAUAGACAAAUGGGACUACAUAAAAUGGAAAAGUUGUUGCAUGGCAAAGGAAAGAACAAAAUGAAAAAGGAAACCAUGAAAUGGAAAAAAUAUUUGCAACCAUAUGUUCAAUAAAGGAUUACUAUUCAAAAUACAGAAGGAAUUCAUACAACUUGAUAGCAAAGAAACCAAAUGAGCUGAUUUUUAAAAUGGGCAAUAAAAUAAAACAAAAUGAAAAUAAAAUGUUGGUGGAAAAUGGAAUUAAAAGAUGUUUAUUUUUUAGAAAACAAUGUGAAAUGCACAUGUGAAGGAUCUUCAACGAGUUCAUGAAAAAUGAGCUUAUUAACAAAUGUGCAUGUGUUCAAAAAUUUUUGCACCAAAAUAAACUUAUCUUUUAAUUCUACUUUCCUUAAAGUUUUUGAAGUGCACUUGCAUAUAAUGCAGAAAAUAAGACAUUGUAAAUAAAUCUUGACUGGGGCAAACUACAUCUAUUCAUAUCAGAUGAAGAUUAGCCUGGGAGAAGAAAAUAAAAAAAAGGAGAAAGUAUGACUCCACAGCACAGCAAAUCAUUCAAGCUGCUGGCAUCUGCUAUGGUAGGCAAUAUCUAGCCAAGGGUAUAUCAGCCAUGGAGGACUUUUUAUUUUUUCAAUGAGAGUGCAUAUCUGGCAAUCUCCCAUGAUUUGUGAAAUGCAGCUAGAGCACUGUGCCUACACUGGGUGGUCAGCCAAUUCUCAUUUCUUGACAAUUCAUUUUUGACAACAUCUAAGUCAUUAGACAUGCAUUUUCUCUUUGCUGUUGCCCACAGCCAAUUCAUGCCAGUGUUCACGUGACAUCUAUUUACCUGGUUGUUUAUCAAAGUGCUGGAGAUGUGUCUUGCAGCUGGCAGAUGGUUUUAACACUGGCUUUAAAUAAGUCGCAUCAAUCAGGGUGCCCUUUGGGUCUACUGAGUGCCCGUGGAGCUGGAGAAGGGUUAACUCUUGGGGUGAGAUGGCUUUACAGUAUUUUAGGGGGAAAUUAUAUUUGCCUUCACACAACCCAUGCUUUCUCAGAAAGAGGAAGUGUGUUUUUCAGAGUCCAGCAGUCAAGAGAUAAAACUAGAAUAAUUCCACUGAGUUACUUGGGCCUGGGGUUCUUCAACAGAUGUGAUAAUAGAAUGUAAAUAUUGAUAUCCAGCUGUCAGCCUACUGAACUUACUUGCAGAGGUUAGGAGAACUUGGCUGCUUUUGCUGAGAGCUAGUUAAGGGCAGGCAGGAAAUUCAGCGAAGAAUAUAUUUAUUAGCUUUUUUUCCCCUUCUAAUUUCGAGACUCGAAAAUGUACACAUGACACACACAAAGGAAAUGGAGGGCUUCUUCCCAGGUUCAAGGGACUGAGAAGUUGAUUCUUUCUUUAAAAAAAAAAAUUUUUGAGAGCCAGAGUUACAGGGGUGGGGGGCAGAGGGGAGGGAGAGAAUGAGAGAGGGAGAGGGAGGUCUUUCAUCUAUGGGUUCACUCCCUAAAUGGCUGCAAUAGCUGGAGCUGAGCCAAUCUGAAGUUAGGAGCCAGGAGCUUCUUCAGGGUCUCCCAUGUGAGUACAGGGGCCCAAGUGCUUGGGCCAUCUUCGACUGCUUUCCCAGGCCAUUAGCAGGGAGCUGGAUUGGAAGUGGAGCAGCUGGUUCUGGAACCAGCACCUAUAUGGGUGGCUGGUGUUGUAGGUGGAGGCCAGCGUUACAGGUGGCAGCUUUACCUGCUACACCACAGCACUGGCGCAAGAAAUUGACUGUUUCUGAGCCAAGUAGUAGACUGCAUCACACCUUGACGGGGAGUACCGGAUGAGACGAGGCUAUGGAGCACCGAGCUUAAGUAAGAGCUGCAGACUGGCCGCCACCUCCUUGCUGCCUCCUCAGCCCCUGCACUUGCUCCGGCCGCCCAUUCUAGCCUGCAAGCCCUUUGACAGCUAAGGGAGCCUGAGAGGUGCCAGUCCCAUCAUGGGGGCAUGGAUUUGAAGCUCUCCGGCCAGGGCUCACCACUCACAGCGUCUUUACAUUUGCCCUGCACUUUGACAACACACAGUCAUGUGCUGCCUAACAACUUUUCAGUGAGUGACCAACUGCAUACACCAGGGUGGGCCCAGAAGACUGAAAACUUCCUGUCGCCUGGUGCUGUUGUAGCCACGGCAGUGUCAUAGUGCACGGCUCAAGCCUUUGCUUGCGGUGCUGCCCUACGUGCCCUUUAAAAGCAUGGUGCAUCCAAGUACGGGCAGUACAGAGCACUGGCGAGUGGCUUAUGUAUGUACUAUGCUUUUUAUUGUUGUGUCAGAGUGAACCCCCUCCACUUAGAAAAACUUCCCACAAAGUGAGCCACGUGAUGCUGGCAGCAACGUCAUGCAUCUUGUGUUACCCCCUCUCUCGAUGCCAUCAGGAGGCCACACUGAGUGACUGACCUGCACCGUUUAGGUUUGACUAAGCACUCUCAGAGUCACACAAUCAUGAAACCACUGGAUGACACAUCUCUCAGAACACAUCCCUGUCACAGAGUGACACCUGCCUGUACACACACAGAAGAUGGCAGGUGGCAGGAGG